Molecule: ribosomal RNA, 468 nt
Filed under: uncultured bacterium
Lineage: Bacteria
Description: partial 16S ribosomal RNA
Rfam family: Bacterial small subunit ribosomal RNA
Source: RNAcentral
GACGAACGCUGGCGGCGUGCUUAACACAUGCAAGUCGAACGGAAAGGCCCUGCUUUUGUGGGGUGCUCGAGUGGCGAACGGGUGAGUAACACGUGAGUAACCUGCCCUUGACUUUGGGAUAACUUCAGGAAACUGGGGCUAAUACCGGAUAGGAGCUCCUGCUGCAUGGUGGGGGUUGGAAAGUUUCGGCGGUUGGGGAUGGACUCGCGGCUUAUCAGCUUGUUGGUGGGGUAGUGGCUUACCAAGGCUUUGACGGGUAGCCGGCCUGAGAGGGUGACCGGCCACAUUGGGACUGAGAUGCGGCCCGGACUCCUACGGGAGGCAGCAGUGGAGAAUAUUGCAAGAUGGGCGGAAGCCUGAUGCAGCAACGCCGCGUGCGGGAUGACGGCCUUCGGGUUGUAAACCGCUUUCGCCUGUGACGAAGCGUGAGUGACGGUAAUGGGUAAAGAAGCACCGGCUAACUACGUG